Molecule: long non-coding RNA, 588 nt
Organism: Maniola jurtina (meadow brown)
Lineage: Eukaryota; Metazoa; Arthropoda; Insecta; Lepidoptera; Nymphalidae
Exons: 3
Source: RefSeq, a predicted model, not a curated record
CAGACAGACAGGCAAUAAAGUGAUCCUAUAAGGGUUCCUUUUUUCCUUUUGAGGUACGGAACCUAAAAAUCAGAUGCAUAUGCUAUUGCUCAAGUGAUAGUAGUCAUUAGGAGCCAGAUUCUAAAAUUACGUAAAGUUCAACUUAAAAUAAUAAUACAGCAAGUAACAGUGAAUAGUAAUCAGUAAUCACGAAACCGUCCUAAGAACGUGCGACCAACUUAUUUUUGCAUUGUUACUAAUAGAGAGUUGAAAUUUUCAGUGUGUAAUUUCUAUUGCCUCUAUAACAACAAAUAAUAAAUAAGAUGGCAAACUUCAAAAUGGUCGCCCUUCAAAUUAAAAAAAAAAACUUUUUACAUUGUAGAUAAUGGGUACAUACCACGAUAAUUUUAAUAUUUUAAUCGCAGAUUUUACGACUCAGUUGCAUGAGUCCAAUACCGAUCUACCCGCUUUCUUGGUCUUUUCGCGGGAACUUCACGAGCUGUCUCGGCAAUAUAAACUCACAACGUCACUAUUAACUAUGGAUGUCGUACGAUGCUGUCCUGGUUUGCAUAAUUCUACCACUGGAUUCCACAUACCUACACAACAAUA